This 538-nucleotide long non-coding RNA is filed under the name Mytilus galloprovincialis (Mediterranean mussel). The record is from RNAcentral. Lineage: Eukaryota; Metazoa; Mollusca; Bivalvia; Mytilida; Mytilidae.
UUUAUUAACAUCUGAAAAAGAUAUUGCCAACAAGCUUGGUGAAACUUUUGCGAAAUCUUCUUCUUCUAACAACUACAAAGAAGAUUUUAAAAAGGUUAAAGAAAAAAAAGAAAAAAAUAAGCUUAACUUUAAAUAAAAAAAUGGUGAAAAUUAUAAUAAAUUUUUCUCUUUGGAAGAACUUAAAACAUCUCUUUCUAAAGUCCAUGACACAGCUUGUGGGCCUGAUAACAUCCAUUAUCAACUGUUAAAACACUCGCCAGAUUCCUCUCUGGAAGUUCUCUUGCAGCUUAUGAAUACCAUCUGGGAGUCUGGUGAUUUACCAUCAAUCUGGAAGCUUGCAACCGUCGUGCCUAUUCCAAAACCAAGUAAAGAUCACACGGAUCCUAUUAACUAUCGACCAAUUGGUCUUACCAGUUGUGUCUGUAAAACACUCGAACGGAUGGUCAAUGAUCGCCUUGUUUGGUUCUUGGAAUCAAAUGGGCUAUUAGCCAAUAUCCAGUGUGGAUUUCGACAGGGACGCAGUACUCUUGAUCAUCUU